AGAGUUUGAUCCUGGCUCAGGACGAACGCUGGCGGCGUGCCUAAUACAUGCAAGUAGAACGCUGAAGGAGGAGCUUGCUCUUCUGGAAGAGUUGCGAACGGGUGAGUAACGCGUAGGUAACCUGCCUGGUAGCGGGGGAUAACUAUUGGAAACGAUAGCUAAUACCGCAUAAGAUUGAAUAUCGCAUGAUAAUUGAUUAAAAGAUGCAAUUGCAUCACUACCAGAUGGACCUGCGUUGUAUUAGCUAGUAGGUGAGGUAACGGCUCACCUAGGCGACGAUACAUAGCCGACCUGAGAGGGUGAUCGGCCACACUGGGACUGAGACACGGCCCAGACUCCUACGGGAGGCAGCAGUAGGGAAUCUUCGGCAAUGGGGGCAACCCCGACCGAGCAACGCCGCGUGAGUGAAGAAGGUUUUCGGAUUGUAAAGCUCUGUUGUAAGAGAAGAACGAGUGUGAGAGUGGAAAGUUCACACUGUGACGGUAUCUUACCAGAAAGGGACGGCUAACUACGUGCCAGCAGCCGCGGUAAUACGUAGGUCCCGAGCGUUGUCCGGAUUUAUUGGGCGUAAAGCGAGCGCAGGCGGUUAGAUAAGUCUGAAGUUAAAGGCUGUGGCUUAACCAUAGUACGCUUUGGAAACUGUUUAACUUGAGUGCAGAAGGGGAGAGUGGAAUUCCAUGUGUAGCGGUGAAAUGCGUAGAUAUAUGGAGGAACACCGGUGGCGAAAGCGGCUCUCUGGUCUGUAACUGACGCUGAGGCUCGAAAGCGUGGGGAGCGAACAGGAUUAGAUACCCUGGUAGUCCACGCCGUAAACGAUGAGUGCUAGGUGUUAGGCCCUUUCCGGGGCUUAGUGCCGUAGCUAACGCAUUAAGCACUCGCUGGGAGUACGACCGCAAGGUUGAAACUCAAAGGAAUUGACGGGGGCCCGCAC
Molecule: ribosomal RNA, 931 nt
Filed under: uncultured bacterium
Lineage: Bacteria
Description: bacterial SSU rRNA
Rfam family: Bacterial small subunit ribosomal RNA
Source: RNAcentral